Long non-coding RNA from Xenopus laevis (African clawed frog), 1291 nucleotides. RefSeq lists it as uncharacterized. The transcript has 4 exons. NCBI's taxonomy places the organism in Eukaryota, Metazoa, Chordata, Amphibia, Anura, Pipidae. The record is from RefSeq and is a predicted model, not a curated record.
UCACUGUGUACAACAGUGUACUCCAUGCUGAGCUGGGACAUUCACACAGCAGGCAGCAGCAGCUGGAGAGCCGAGGAGAGGAGAGGGAGGGGCAGAGCCAGGAUGGGAGAUAGGACAGAGGAGCGGUCCUAGAGCCCGUCGGAUUUCCUGAAAAAACUUCAGCUCAGCCGUCAGCCGCACACACACUCGGCUCUCCAGUCCCCCUGCAGAGUCUGCGAGCUGACACCGCCCACACAUUUCGUCACUACACGCUGAGGAAUUGGGAGGAGGGAGCAGCGAAGCAGGCAGCCAGCAGCUGAAAAAAAAAGGAAACUGUAAGAACACUUACCGAAGGGGUCCCUCGGCGCGGCAUCUCCCGGUGGCUCUGACAUCAAAGGCGCAGACACGUGCAACAAGGAGCACAUUCUGACUGACGCCGGCGCAUGUGUUAUGGCACUAAACGUUGUGACGCUGGCAUUUUUAUGCAGUCGUUCUGACGCUGGCGAAGUGGCGCCAAGGCCCAAGUACCUCAAUUCUGUUUAGCCUCACUGGCUUCUCUCCACUCACGGCUCCCCCUGUAUCAUCCCCAGGUGGGUUCUGUGUUGUGUGAGCCUCUUUGAGGUCCUUGUCAUCUAGAAGAGAUCCAUCGUCUGAUUCUCCGCUUGCAUGAACAGCGGAAUCGGAAAGCUUUGGAAGUUUUUUUCUGGAGGGAGACAAAGUACACCAAAAAACGGGGAGAAAUAUGACAAGGAACAGAGACCGCCAUGUAUGAAUUACAAGUGGCAAGACAGGGAGCGACAAGGAUUGGAAAAAGAAGAAAGAGGAUCGGAGAUACACUCUGAGGGAUCGAAUGAACAAGAAACGGGGUGUAAUGUAUUGAACUUUUUGGACGUUGCAUUAACUAAAGCACAAAUGUCCCUUUAAGGAAAGGGCUUAUCCUUCAGCCCAACUUAUAAUUUUGAGGUAAAUACAGGCACAGAUAAGGAUACUGAAGUUGGUGAGUCUCUUGUGCACAGGUCAGGGGAAGCAGAGUAUAAAGCAGAGGAAAUCUGACUUCUAUCCAGUUAAUAGUCAAUGGGAACUGGUUGAUAUAUUUCAGGACAUGGUGGAAAAGCAUUUAAUUAAACUAUGGGAAGAACACUGAUACCCUAUAGGUCAGGUAAUCUCACGAUUGAUCAGAGAAAGGAAAUUGUCCCAUCACUAUUGGCAGUUGAAGCUUAAUAGGUGCUUUUAGUACCCUCUUAUGUGCAAAGCAAGAUUUGCAUACAGUAUGUCUGUACAAUGUAAUUAAAUGUGGAUAUUUUUUACUUUA